RNAcentral lists this ribosomal RNA (770 nucleotides) under bacterium W15M3. Its description in RNAcentral is "bacterial SSU rRNA". It matches the Rfam family "Bacterial small subunit ribosomal RNA", at positions 74 to 850 of the family's 1533-position model. The record is from RNAcentral.
UUGCUACUUUGCUGACGAGCGGCGGACGGGUGAGUAAUGCUUGGGAACAUGCCUUGAGGUGGGGGACAACAGUUGGAAACGACUGCUAAUACCGCAUAAUGUCUACGGACCAAAGGGGGCUUCGGCUCUCGCCUUUAGAUUGGCCCAAGUGGGAUUAGCUAGUUGGUGAGGUAAUGGCUCACCAAGGCAACGAUCCCUAGCUGGUUUGAGAGGAUGAUCAGCCACACUGGGACUGAGACACGGCCCAGACUCCUACGGGAGGCAGCAGUGGGGAAUAUUGCACAAUGGGCGCAAGCCUGAUGCAGCCAUGCCGCGUGUGUGAAGAAGGCCUUCGGGUUGUAAAGCACUUUCAGUCAGGAGGAAAGGUUAGUAGUUAAUACCUGCUAGCUGUGACGUUACUGACAGAAGAAGCACCGGCUAACUCCGUGCCAGCAGCCGCGGUAAUACGGAGGGUGCGAGCGUUAAUCGGAAUUACUGGGCGUAAAGCGUACGCAGGCGGUUUGUUAAGCGAGAUGUGAAAGCCCCGGGCUCAACCUGGGAACUGCAUUUCGAACUGGCAAACUAGAGUGUGAUAGAGGGUGGUAGAAUUUCAGGUGUAGCGGUGAAAUGCGUAGAGAUCUGAAGGAAUACCGAUGGCGAAGGCAGCCACCUGGGUCAACACUGACGCUCAUGUACGAAAGCGUGGGGAGCAAACAAGAUUAGAUACCCUGGUAGUCCACGCCGUAAACGAUGUCUACUAGAAGCUCGGAGCCUCGGCUCUGUUUUUCAAA